AACGAACGCUGGCGGCAUGCCUAACACAUGCAAGUCGAACGAGACCUUCGGGUCUAGGGGCGCACGGGUGCGUCACGCGUGGGAACCUGCCCUUAGGUUCGGAAUAACUCCCCGAAAGGGGUGCUAAUACCGGAUAAUUGCUUCUGACCAAAGAUUUAUCGCCUUUGGAUGGGCCCGCGUUGGAUUAGCUAGGUGGUAGGGUAAAAGCCUACCAAGGCGACGAUCCAUAGCUGGUCUGAGAGGAUGAUCAGCCACACUGGGACUGAGACACGGCCCAGACUCCUACGGGAGGCAGCAGUGGGGAAUAUUGGACAAUGGGCGAAAGCCUGAUCCAGCAAUGCCGCGUGAGUGAUGAAGGCCUUAGGGUUGUAAAGCUCUUUUACCCGGGAUGAUAAUGACAGUACCGGGAGAAUAAGCUCCGGCUAACUCCGUG
Molecule: ribosomal RNA, 433 nt
Filed under: uncultured bacterium
Lineage: Bacteria
Description: partial 16S ribosomal RNA
Rfam family: Bacterial small subunit ribosomal RNA
Source: RNAcentral